Molecule: ribosomal RNA, 253 nt
Filed under: uncultured bacterium
Lineage: Bacteria
Description: partial 16S ribosomal RNA
Rfam family: Bacterial small subunit ribosomal RNA
Source: RNAcentral
UACAGAGGGUGCAAGCGUUGUUCGGAAUUAUUGGGCGUAAAGCGCGUGUAGGCGGCUUUGCAAGUCGGGUGUGAAAUCCCUCGGCUCAACCGAGGAAGUGCGCCCGAAACUGCAGAGCUUGAGUACUGGAGAGGAUGGCGGAAUUCCCCAAGUAGAGGUGAAAUUCGUAGAUAUGGGGAGGAACACCGGUGGCGAAGGCGACCAUCUGGACAGAUACUGACGCUGAGACGCGAAAGCGUGGGGAGCAAACAGG